UACGGAGGGUGCAAGCGUUAUCCGGAUUCACUGGGUUUAAAGGGUGCGUAGGCGGGCAGGUAAGUCAGUGGUGAAAUCCCCAAGCUUAACUUGGGAACUGCCGUUGAUACUAUCUGUCUUGAAUACCGUGGAGAUGAGCGGAAUAUGUCAUGUAGCGGUGAAAUGCUUAGAUAUGACAUAGAACACCAAUUGCGAAGGCAGCUCGUUACACGAAUAUUGACUCUGAGGCACGAAAGCGUGGGGAUCAAACAGG
Molecule: ribosomal RNA, 253 nt
Filed under: uncultured bacterium
Lineage: Bacteria
Description: partial 16S ribosomal RNA
Rfam family: Bacterial small subunit ribosomal RNA
Source: RNAcentral